GGUCCAGAGGGGAGGACACAAAAACCUAGGGAGAUUCCUAGGAAGGUGGACUGUUACAUUAGCUAAAAAGAAAGAGGAAACUGCCACACUCUGAGACUUUAAUAUGGAGGGUUACGGAUAGUCGAGUUCAACACUUUGCUUUAGAUGUUUUUUUUUUUUAUUUUCUUUGGAUUCCAGUACAUGUAAUGGCUUGGAGGAUCUUCACUUUAUUUUUGAAUAGCACAGAAAAAACAUGGAGGCGUCACACGCUGGAAAAUUUAUGUUGGGAAUGUAAGAG
RNAcentral lists this long non-coding RNA (277 nucleotides) under Vigna radiata. RNAcentral's name for it is "long non-coding RNA (VRAD_LNC016578)". The record is from RNAcentral. Lineage: Eukaryota; Viridiplantae; Streptophyta; Magnoliopsida; Fabales; Fabaceae.